Long non-coding RNA from Limulus polyphemus (Atlantic horseshoe crab), 331 nucleotides. RefSeq lists it as uncharacterized. The record is from RefSeq and is a predicted model, not a curated record. Lineage: Eukaryota; Metazoa; Arthropoda; Merostomata; Xiphosura; Limulidae. The transcript has 3 exons.
AAACCUUUGCGCGCUCAAUAUAAUACCUUGAAUGCGAUGGUGCUUCAGAAUUCUGGGUUUCAAUUUGAUCAAUAGUUGUAAAUACUAAUCAUGCCCGAUCCAGCCUGCAAAUGUGGAGAUGAGUUGUGCACAUGCGGUGAAGAGUGCACGUGCGGGAAGGAAGACGGAUGCAAGUGCACUACGUGCAACAAAAAAGGUGAAGCUGAGACGGAAGCAAGUCCGUGCAAGUGUUCAAAAGGAGAAUCCUGCACGUGUGCGUCAUGCACGUGCAGUAAGAAGGAAUAGUUCCCAUAUAUUUGUUUGGCUGGACCGAAGUAUUUGUCUGACAUAA